This 579-nucleotide long non-coding RNA is filed under the name Mytilus galloprovincialis (Mediterranean mussel). Lineage: Eukaryota; Metazoa; Mollusca; Bivalvia; Mytilida; Mytilidae. The record is from RNAcentral.
GGAGGCAACUCAAAUGCAAGGGCAGAUAAUUCAGAUUAAGGUACACAAUAGAAUGUGUUACGAAUUUACCUAUUUAAUAAUGUAGCAAGAAAACGGGUCCGGUGAACCCCUUGUUUCUUUUUCUUAACUGAAAGCAUGCUAUUAAAGCCAUCUUCUCAUGUGUUAUCUCAAAAUUCUAUGGUGUAGAUUGCGCUUUAUUGAAGAAAAUUGGGGUUUCCAUGCAUAAUCUAUACAAAAUUUGUCAAUUUUGAACACUGUGUAGCAUGAAAAUAAGCCCAGUGACCCAUUCUUUUUAUUAGUAUUUUUAAAAAGCAUGAUAUAAACUAUAUUUUGGCAAAUUAUUAAAAUUUUUUAUGGAUUAUAAUUUAGACACCCCAUCUACCUUAAAUGAGAAAACUGACGGCCUAAUUUAUGUACAAAAUAAUAAUAACACAUAGAUGAAACGAUUGCAUAUCGGUUGCACAUGGAAAGAUCUUUAAUAACAGUUAGGAAUUCAAGACGGCAUUUGUGCUGAUUGUGUUCAUUUGGAAAGUAAGAAGAAAAUUGAAGUAAUAUGAUUCCUACUGUUUAACAAAAAAG